UACAGAGGGUGCGAGCGUUAAUCGGAAUUACUGGGCGUAAAGCGCACGUAGGUGGCGACGUAUGUCGGGUGGGAAAGCCCCGGGCUCAACCUGGGAACUGCAUCCGAAACUGCGUUGCUGGAGUACGGAAGAGGAAGGCGGAAUUCCCGGUGUAGCGGUGAAAUGCGUAGAUAUCGGGAGGAACAUCAGUGGCGAAGGCGGCCUUCUGGUCCAGUACUGACACUCAAGUGCGAAAGCGUGGGGAGCAAACAGG
Molecule: ribosomal RNA, 253 nt
Filed under: uncultured bacterium
Lineage: Bacteria
Description: partial 16S ribosomal RNA
Rfam family: Bacterial small subunit ribosomal RNA
Source: RNAcentral